CCUUAGUAACUGCGAGUGAAGUGGGAAAAGCUCAAAUUUAAAAUCUGGCAGAUUUUGGUCUGUCNGAGUUGUAACCUAGAGAAGUAUAACUUGCUCUGGACCAUGUACAAGUCUCCUGGAAUGGAGCAUCAUAGAGGGUGAGAAUCCCGUCUUUGACAUGGACUCCCAGUGUGCUGUGGUUGUACACUCAACGAGUCGAGUUGUUUGGGAAUGCAGCUCUAAAUGGGUGGUAAAUUCCAUCUAAAGCUAAAUAUUGGCAAGAGACCGAUAGUGAACAAGUACCGUGAGGGAAAGAUGAAAAGAACUUUGGAAAGAGAGUUAAACAGUAUGUGAAAUUGUUGAAAGGGAAACAUUUGAAGUCAGAUAGGUUGGCUGGGGAUCAAGCUGGCUUAACUAGCUGGGUGUAUUUCCUAGUCAACAGGCCAAUGUCAGUUUUGACUGUCAGAGAAAGGCCAAGGGAAUGUGGCACCUUUACAGGUGUGUUAUAGCCCUUGGUUGUAUGUGAUGGUUGGGACUGAGGGAGAGCAGCAUGCUACAAGGCAGGGUUUUUGACCACAUUCAUGCUUAGGACAUUGGCAAUAAUGGCUUUAAGUGACCCGUCUUGAAACACGGACCAAGGAGUCUAACAUGCAUGCAAGUGUUUGGGUGGAAAACCCAAGCAUGUAAUGAAAGUGAAAGUUGAGAUCCCUG
RNAcentral lists this ribosomal RNA (690 nucleotides) under Amanita sp. RNAcentral's name for it is "LSU rRNA". It matches the Rfam family "Eukaryotic large subunit ribosomal RNA", at positions 78 to 746 of the family's 3401-position model. The record is from RNAcentral. Lineage: Eukaryota; Fungi; Basidiomycota; Agaricomycetes; Agaricales; Amanitaceae.